Non-coding RNA from Phalacrocorax carbo (great cormorant), 1084 nucleotides. The record is from RefSeq and is a predicted model, not a curated record. Lineage: Eukaryota; Metazoa; Chordata; Aves; Suliformes; Phalacrocoracidae.
UGUUACUUACCUGAGUUUCUUUAAAUAGCUUCUGCUAUGUACGUACUUCUCUCUUAUGCAUAAAGCUGGUUAUGCUUCGUGGACUGAACUCUUAGUGCGAUAGAGCCCUGGCGCUGCGCUCUUGAGCUACUGGUGGCUGCUUUGAUCAGCUGCCCCGCUCCCGAAAGGGCUGCUCGGUUUGGCUGAGUGACCGGAGAUAUUUCUGAACUCACCUCCCCGGCCUUUCUGCAACCUGCUCGUCUGCUGGCGGCGGCCGAAGCUGAGCAAUCGGUCAGUCGCACCUGGAAUCAGAACCGUACGCCUCAAAACCACAGCCCAGUCAUCACCGUACACCGGAGGGAAUUACUGGCAGCAUUUCAGUGCGUUACUAUGCCAAAAAGGUGCCUUUGGAAGACAGAAAUAAAUUGGAAGCGUGGGGAUUCAUUGUGAUAUGCCUGCCACAGAGGUGCAAUGUAUAUUCCGGCUCAGAGGAAUUCAGCCUCUUGGAUCCAGCCGUGGGAAGCGGAGGCGUGCGCUGGAGGUGGGAGGAUGCUCCGGGGGACCAAGAGAGCAUCCUGCCGGGGGGCGAGCCGGGCCAGCGGACCCUCGCGCCGGGGCGGGUAACACCUACAGCCCGCCGCGUGCAGGGCGUUGCUUUCCCAGGUAGUCAGCAGGAGAGGGGUAGCAUAAAUUACGUCUGCUAACUCAUAUGAAAAAUGAAGCUCUGUUUAGAAAAUAGAGGCUAUGCCAGUUGCGUGUGUGCGUUACUGCUUGGGUAUGUGUUAGUUUCUGGUUGAUGUAGCUUAUAAAACUGCCCCGUCUCGUCACCGUAGCACCACUAACGCAAAUCACAGUAUUUGGGCUGUUACGGUGAGGUGGGUGAGGGACCAGAUACUGUCGCACAUUUGACAGUGAGCGAUCCCUCCUUGGGAGAGACAUCUCUACGUACAGGCUGUCCGCGCAGGGUCAGCUCUAUGAGAGAGGGAGCGCCAUAUGAGUGCAAACUCAUACUCUGUACAAGCGUUUGUAAGGAUAUAAGUAUUAUCCCUAUAAACUAAAAUGCUCGUAUUCAGAAUGGUUGCUGGGUAAUGUAUUUUAAAUCUCA